GUGAAUCUUUUACCUCUUGGUAAGUUCUGUGGACGGCAGGUACCGGAGUUCCAAUCUCCAGGAAACCUCAUCCACGUCGUCUUCACAACUGACCAAUCAAACACUUAUACUGGCUUCCGCAUCCAAUUCACAGAAGUCAGUGCAUCUGCCUGUAGAUACAUCAUCAAACCAUCUACAGAGGUGUCAUAUCUGUACUCGCCAGGCUAUCCUAAUCUUUAUUUGAACAAUCUGAACUGUAACUGGGUAUUCAAUACAGGACGUGGAAUGGAAUUACAUUUAAUAUUCCUCGAUUUUCACAUUCAAGGACGAUAUCCAGAAUGUAACCAUGACAACAUCAGUUUGACACGACG
Gigantopelta aegis is the source of this 350-nucleotide long non-coding RNA. RefSeq lists it as uncharacterized. Lineage: Eukaryota; Metazoa; Mollusca; Gastropoda; Neomphalida; Peltospiridae. The record is from RefSeq and is a predicted model, not a curated record. The transcript is spliced from 3 exons.